Molecule: ribosomal RNA, 250 nt
Filed under: uncultured prokaryote
Description: partial 16S ribosomal RNA
Rfam family: Bacterial small subunit ribosomal RNA
Source: RNAcentral
UACGUAGGGAGCGAGCGUUGUCCGGAAUGAUUGGGCGUAAAGGGCGUGUAGGCAGCCUGUUAAGUCUGAAGUGAAAUCCCUGGUUUCAAGUCAGGGUCUGCUUUGGAAACUGGCGGGCUUGAGUGCAGGAGAGGCUAUCGGAAUUCCCGGUGUAGCGGUGAAAUGCGUAGAGAUCGGGAGGAACACCAGUGGCGAAGGCGGGUAGCUGGACUGUAACUGACGCUGAGGCGCGAAAGUGUGGGGAGCAAAC